Molecule: RNA transcript, 4690 nt
Organism: Myotis daubentonii (Daubenton's bat)
Lineage: Eukaryota; Metazoa; Chordata; Mammalia; Chiroptera; Vespertilionidae
Gene: SPATA18
Gene name: spermatogenesis associated 18
Source: RefSeq, a predicted model, not a curated record
GUGAAGGGAGGGCGCAGUGGGGGCUGGGCGGUGGCACCGCGUUGCCUCGGUGCCCGGGGCGCGCGUCCCUAGCAGCCGCCGCCCACGUCAAGGUUUGUUUAAUAAUCGCCCGGGGAUUUAAGGCCUGGGCUCGCGGCGGGCCGCGGGGGAGCCAGGAGACCGCGCCGGGCAGCGGAUGAGGCGCGGAGGCUGUGGCCCAGGGCACCUCCCCCCGGCUUCCCCAAACCCUGCCCGGUCAGACCCGAGGGGGAGGAUGGAAACAUCGGCCGAACUCUGAGCCCCUCAGGAAGAUAACACCCUUCCCGCCCACUCGCCCUGCGGUCCAGCGGAGGCCACCGACUCGUCCCUCCAAGUCUCCAUCUCCCCGAGCCGGACCGAGCGGAAAAACCAGCGAUGGCGGAAACCCUGAGGAAACUGGUCUCCAACGAUUUUCUACGAACGAUGUACGAGAACCUGGAGCGCUGGCAGAGGGAUUACAACACAAACUCAUGUGAUCAGAAUCUAAGUUUUUGCCUGGAAUUCAUUGAACAAGUUGCCAAGAUGCAGGGACAACUCUUUGGAAUCCUCACUACAACAGCUCAAGAAGGAGGACGUUAUGAUGGUGUGGAAGUAAUCAAAUCACGCCUUUUGCCUUGGCUGGAGACCGCCUUUACUGCUGCUUCCCUGGGAAAACCUAUUGACAGCAAGGUCCCCUCUCUGCAGGACACGUUUGAAAGGGAGAGACAGAAAGAGGCUGGGGCUCGAGAACGGGAGAUGAAACAAUUAGAAGUGGAGCUGAGCUCAACUCAUAAUCAAAUCAACCAGAUUCAAGACGAUCUGCCUGACUCUCCAAAGACUCUUGAAGCAACCAAGAACAGUUCGGCCAUAUCCCUUUUGGCUGCAGAGGAGGAAAUAAAUCAGCUAAAAAAGCAGCUUAAAUCUCUUCAAGCCCAGGAGGAGUCCCGCCACAGAGGCUCAGCGCAUAGAGCCGCUGUGCAAAAGAGCUCAGAGCGAGGUGUGGAGCCCAGAGGUGCGGAGCCCAGAGGUGCGGAGUCCAGAGGCCCGGAGUGGAGGAUCUCGGAGUUGAGGCGGUCAGAGCAUCGCAGCUCCGAAAAGCGCAGCGGCUUGGACAAGCGCAUCUCCGGCUUGGACAAGCGUGACCGUGACCGUGACCGUGACCGUGACCGUGACCGUGACCGGUGUGACCCCGAAGUGAUAUCCGAUUAUGAGAAGCAGGUCCGCUCGCUGAAGGACGAGAUCGCUGCUCUGACGGCCGAAAAAUCUGCCCUCCAAGGAAGGUCCGCCCGGAGCCAGUCUCCCAGCCCCGCCGCUCGCAGCUGCAGCCCGGUCGCUCGCAGCCGCAGCCCAGGCGCUCGCAGCCCCAGCCGCAGCCGCAGUCACAGUCGCAGUCGCAGUCACAGUCGCAGAGGCAGCCGCAGCGAAAGCCGCAGCCGCAGCCACAGCCGCAGCCGCAGCCGCAGAGGCAGCCGCAGCCGCAGCCCCAGCGGCAGCCGCAGCCGGUCGGGCAGCCCCUCCAACGCGAUGGUGAAGAUCAGGACGCCGUCCCCGAACCGCGCCAAACUGUCCAGUGCGGCGCGCAAGGCCGCGCUCCUGUCCCGGUUCAGCGACGCCUACUCCCAGGCCCGCCUGGACGCGCAGUGCCUGCUGCGGCAAUGCAUCGACAACGCCGAGACCGUGCAGCGCAUCAUCUACAUCGCCACCGUGGAGGCAUUCCAUGUAGCUAAAAUGGCGUUCAGACAUUUCAAAAUCCGCGUAAGGAAAUCUUUGACACCAUCUUAUAUGGGGGCAAAUGACUUUGAGGAUGCCGUCACGGAUUAUAUAAUUUGUCACCUUGAUCUAUACGAUUCCCAAAACAGUGUCAACGACGUGAUUCGAGCCAUGAAUGUCAAUCCCAAGAUUUCAUUCCCUCCGGAAGUUGAUUUUUGCCUCCUCGGUAACUUCAUCCAGGAGAUAUGUUGCAUUGCCUUUGCGAUGCAGGCUUUAGAGCCACCCCUAGAUAUUGCAUUUGGGGCCGAUGGAGAAAUGUUUAAUGAUUGCAAGUACCGUCGCAGCUAUGACUCGGAUUUCACGGCGCCCUUGGUCUUCUAUCACGUGUGGCCUGCCCUCAUGGAGAAUGACACCGUCGCUAUGAAGGGGGAAGCUGUCACCAAGAGAGGGGCUUUUGUACGGUGGCCUUGCGUUGUGACAAUUCGUCCCAAGUGUUUGAUUCACAAUGGAAUUCUGUGCGACCGCUAAGCCGAAGUCGAAGCAGGAGUUUAAGUCCCAUCUGCCCCCGUAGCCGUAUUGGUAUGAGCCUGAUAUCUCGAAGCCGGAGUCCUUCUCCAAUAAGAUGUGCACUGCCAAGGUAUUAAACCACCAGGCGUGUUCCUCUGCCACAGCACAUCACCUGCACCAGCGCAUCGGCACCAGCCCGCCUCCCCUGCGCCCACCGGCCUCCCCAGAGCCCGCCCGCCCGCCCGCUGUGUCUGCCGCACUCCUCACUUAAGAUAAUGUGAAAGGGCAAUUCUGUGUAUCACUCCACACAGAGACUUAAAUGUUUUGGCUUGACGCAUUUGUAACUUCAGAUAUAUCGCAUUUUAUUUUAUUUGAUAGGUACCAACCCCAUGACUUUGAUAAAAACGAUUGCAUAGGCGUUUAGGAUCACAUUCAUUCGAAGCAGCCCAUUGCCCAGGUUCAGGGCUCUCAUGGCAACUGGGUGAACGCCCGAGGAAAACCUUUACCAUGCCUAGUCCAGAAGACAGAGGAGAGGUCGUAGUUUACAGUUUGAUCAUCAGCAUUAUAAUUAAUAGGAUUAGCUCUAACUUGAAAACAAAAUUGGGUGUUUUACUUUGCUUUUGAGGUUUGGAAGCCAGCCCUAAGCUCAGGUUGGGGAACUUGUAGCAGGAAUGGUGACGUUAGGCUGCAUGCAGAGGAUGGUGCGUGACCAGGCUGUGGGUCAUUCACUGGCUUGCUUCUGCUUUCUUACUUUGGGUGCCCAGUUUGGUUGAGCUGAGUACUGUACGUUGAAGCUACUGAGUUGAGAGAGUUUUCUCGCUUCAUAAGUGCGGAGCAGUGAUUUGGACAGAAGGCAGCAUUGAGAUAAAUGUUUAUUACCUUAUGCUUAUCUCCUGGGAAUGUUUCAUACAGCUUUAAUGUAUGUGUUAAAUAUAACAGCUACCUGGGCCAUGCCCUUUCCCUAUUCCACCUACUUGGUCACAAAUUCAGACCUCCUAUGAACUCUGUCUGACCCCAAAUACCUAAACUCAAGGCCUAAAACUAGGAACACCAUUUACUGAUUUUAUUCCUCAAUUUCUUCACUGUGAAGUUCUGUUGUAAGUUCAAGAUAAAAAUGGAAUGUGGCUUUUCAAGAUAAGCCAUAGUCUUUUUAGGCUUUUUGUUUAUUUAUUUAUUUUUUUUACUUUAACACCGGCCUUGUGCACAAGCCUGACAAAUGACUGCUUUCGCCAAGUGCCUUUUAGAGAGAAACUCUGAAUUGGCCACAGCUCAGCUUGCAUCAGCUCAGUGCCAAACCCAGCACCUGAAGCUUUUCAGGUGGAACCUCCCCCCUUCCCUGCCGAAUUUCUCUAAAACAUCUGUCCCUAGAGAGGAGGGAGAGAUCGCCCAGUGCUGCCCUUGGGUGUAAUGUCACCAGCGCACCCUGCAGGGUGAGUUGGUUUUCCCCACGUGGAGUAUUUGUGUAGUUCUCUCUUCGGGGCCAUGCAGGGUGCUAGAAGGAGAACCUGGUGUCGGGUAACUCCAGUUCUGUUUGGUCAUUAGCUGGCUUUGUGGCCUUGAGCACGUUACUUCACCUCUCUGAGCCUUUGUCCCCUGUGGAGUGAGAGGCUGGAUGAGAUCAGUGGUUCUCUCCACCCUCCCAGGGUCAGUGCCCCCUUUUUCAAACAAAUAUUUUUUUUCUGGCAGUUCUGAAGUGAAAUUCAAAGUUAAUGGGGUCAACAUGACAUAUAUUUUUAAACAAUGAAUAUAAUACCCUAACUGUAAUAGGAUCAGUAAAAAGGAAAGGCAGUUUUUAAGAGAGUAAAAAUGUAUUUAAUAGCAAAGCUUGGGUGUGACCAUCUGGAAGACAGAAUGAAGUCAUCAGAUGCUUUCACCGUGUGUAGCAUCACAAGCUCCCAGGGCAGACCAGUGUGUGUUGCAUUGGCAACAUUGCACAUAGGGUUGUCACUGGGUAUGAUUCUCUGAAGUGGUAGACAGCUCUCGGAAAGUUUUGAACAAAAAUCUUAGAGUUGUGCCUUGUACACGCAUUCCUGGAAUAGUCGCUGGAUAGUAAAACCAUGCAACAAUUACCUUUAGCUAUAUGUCGAAAGGUCAUUUCUAACAUCUCACUAAGUAAAGAGAAUGCUUACAUACCAGAAUUUUCUUUGUGGAGUUGGAUGUGGAAGUUCAUGCUCUGAUUUGGAAAAAGGACACCUGUAUUCAGUGUAUGUGCUCCGUACCCUGUCUGGCCACGUGCCCUUUCUCAGGUCUCCAGUUUGAACUAUAACCACAACAGGGAAUGGGGGGUAGUCUAGAGUAAUUUUGGGGGGAAAAUCCACAAAACCAAAGGAGGCCAACCUGUGCUCCUUUCACCUGGGUAUGCACCUUAACCUCAGUAACUUUGAAAAAUAAAAAGCUCUUACUUCAUAAUCUGGGUAAAUAUUAGCUUCUGUAUUAUUGGUUUAAUAUCGAAUAAUAAAAUUGAGGGAAAAAACUG